ACGGGUGCGUAACGCGUGGGAACAUACCUUUCGGUACGGAACAACCCAGGGAAACUUGGGCUAAUACCGUAUACGUCCUAACGGAGAAAGAUUUAUCGCCGAAGGAUUGGCCCGCGUUCGAUUAGCUAGUUGGUGAGGUAAAAGCUCACCAAGGCGACGAUCGAUAGCUGUUCUGAGAGGAAGAUCAGCCACACUGGGACUGAGACACGGCCCAGACUCCUACGGGAGGCAGCAGUUGGGAAUCUUGGACAAUGGGGGAAACCCUGAUCCAGCCAUGCCGCGUGAGUGAUGAGGGCCUUCGGGUUGUAAAACUCUUUCGACGGGGACGAUAAUGACGGUACCCGUAGAAGAAGCUCCGGCUAACUUCGUGCCAGCAGCCGCGGUAAUACGAAGGGGGCUAGCGUUGUUCGGAAUUACUGGGCGUAAAGCGCGCGCAGGCGGUCUUCCAAGUCAGUGGUGAAAGCCUGGAGCUCAACUCCAGAACUGCCAUUGAAACUGUUGGACUUGAGUACGAGAGAGGUGAGUGGAAUUCCCAGUGUAGAGGUGAAAUUCGUAGA
This 557-nucleotide ribosomal RNA is filed under the name uncultured bacterium. Its description in RNAcentral is "bacterial SSU rRNA". It matches the Rfam family "Bacterial small subunit ribosomal RNA", at positions 102 to 694 of the family's 1533-position model. The record is from RNAcentral.